UUUCUUCUUUGUCACUGUAGGCUUUAGAAACUAUGAUGUUCUUAAAGGAGUACCUAGAGAAUUCACCUAGCUGCAUAUCCCUCCAACCCCAGCACAGCGCUCCUCUCAGCAUUUCACCACACGCACGAAACAUUACAGAAGCCGUGCGUGGUGGUACACGCCUGCCGUCCCCGCACUUGGGAGGCAGAGGCAGGUAAGAAUUGGCCCACAGUAACAGCUAGAAUUUCCACCAUGAAGCCUGAUUCCCAGAUUCUUCAGAUUAUUCUGGCAUAAUGUGCGGGCUUGGGUUUCAUCUGAUGAAAACACUUCAAGAAACCUCUCCAGACUUUCAUAAAUGGUUGGGUGGUGUGUGUGUGUGUGUGGGGGGGGGUUAACAAUAUUUUUUGAAUGCCUGCUGAAUGUUGGACAUUAUACUGCUUGGCACUAGGAUGAAAAGAUGAAUGUCACGGUUUCUGCCUCGAAGAGCUUGCAAUCCAGGUGUGGAGGCAGAUGAUGAGACAGUUACAUGAGAUGUCCUGUGUGCUGUGAAAGGAUAAAAGGACAUUCAGCUUAAUCUGACAUCCCACAAGGGUUUUCUAGAAUAAUACUGGGAACAUACUGUGCUAUGUGCCAGGCACUGCUAUAACAUGAAUACAAAUUUGUUCGCACAUAUACAGGCAUACAUGCACACAGGCUUGGUGCCAAGCACCUUUACUUGCUUCUCACUGGCCCAAGAGUGUGUACUUCUGAGAGACACUUAUUGAGAGAGUAAGGGUUGGCUUGUUCACCACAUGCAUAAAACAUGGUUGUGUCCAUAUGGAAGACACAUGAAAAAGGUAAUGAAAAGUUGCUUCCUUUUGUUAUCUGAGGGGUGCUUAUGCCAAGGAAUAACAUGGUGAGAAUCUUAUACUUCAGCUUGCAGUUGGGGAACCCGAAUUGUGUUUUGUUAAACUAUUCAAUAGGACGAACAUCCAAAUAGGUAUUUUGGAUAGGCAUUUGGCUAUAUGCAAACAGAGCUUACUAUCUGGGGUAAGAGCAGAAGACAAGACAGAAGUGGGGAGUUAAUGAAUUACAGGAGUUGAUGAGAUGGUCCUAAAGAGAUUAAUGAUGGCCCUGGGGACAAGUGGGCCUAAACAGAAAAGGAAGUGGCAAGAAAGCCAAAAUGUGGGUGUCAAGUAUGAAAACUCUAGCAGCAAAUAGUGUGUCACAAUUUAUGAGACUAGAGUUUUGCAAAGAAAAAUUGAGAAUGGUGUAGCUGGUGAGCAGACCAGCAAAGAUGCUUGGUUCUUAUCCUGGAAGCCUGUGGAUGUUGCCUUGUAUAGUAAGGAUGUGUAGAUGAGGAGGCUGCCCUUGAUGAUCCAGGUGGUCCUAAGAGCCAUCAUGAAUGUCUGUAGAGAAGCAGAGGAAGGUUGAUAAAAGGGAGCAGGCAGUACGCCUGAAGAGGCAAAGGGUCUGACACCAGAAUGACAGCAACAUAAACUGUAAGAAGUGGGAUCAGGGUCUUCACUGGGAGUUGCAGAGGAGCACAGCUCUGUGGACACCUCAAUCUCAGUCCACUAAAACAGAUUCUGGACUUCAGGGGUCUCUAACAGUGAGAAAAUCCAUUUUUGGUGAUUUAGGCCAACGGGUCUGUGGUAAUUUUUUGCAGCACUGUUAGAAAACCAACACCAUCAACACAGUAGGGAAAGCUUUAAAAUAACUGAAAUUGGAGCUGGAGAGAUGGCCCAGUUCCAGGUAUUUGAUACUCUCUUCUGGACUUUGUA
Long non-coding RNA from Nannospalax galili (Upper Galilee mountains blind mole rat), 1742 nucleotides. RefSeq lists it as uncharacterized. Lineage: Eukaryota; Metazoa; Chordata; Mammalia; Rodentia; Spalacidae. The transcript is spliced from 3 exons. The record is from RefSeq and is a predicted model, not a curated record.